AGUAACACGUGACUAACCUACCCUGGAGUGGGGAAUAACUGAGGGAAACCUUAGCUAAUACCGCAUAAUACCUACGGGUCAAAGGAGCAAUUCGCUUCAGGAGGGGGUCGCGGCGAUUAGCUAGUUGGCGGGGUAAUGGCCCACCAAGGCAAUGAUCGGUAUCCGGCCUGAGAGGGCGCACGGACACACUGGAACUGAAACACGGUCCAGGCUCCUACGGGAGGCAGCAGUGGGGAAUUUUGGCGCAAUGGGGGAAACCCUGACGCAGCAACGCCGCGUGGAGGAUGAAAUCCCUUGGGAUGUAAACUCCUUUCGAUCGGGACGAUUAUGACGGUACCGGAAGAAGAAGCCCCGGCUAACUUCGUGCCAGCAGCCGCGGUAAUACGAGGGGGGCAAGCGUUGUUCGGAAUUAUUGGGCGUAAAGGGAGUGUAGGCGGUUUGGUAAGUCGUGUGUGAAAUCUUCGGGCUCAACCCGAAGUCUGCACACGAAACUGCCGGGCUUGAGGGUGGGAGCAG
Molecule: ribosomal RNA, 516 nt
Filed under: uncultured bacterium
Lineage: Bacteria
Description: bacterial SSU rRNA
Rfam family: Bacterial small subunit ribosomal RNA
Source: RNAcentral